GGGGCUGACCUGGUUUUGACAGCAAGCCGAGGUGGUGUGUAAGCAUGCAGAGCGUUGUUGCGUAGCUCUUGCCGUAAGGCGUCCUUUUUGGGCAAAAACAUGUGGCAACAUUUAUAAUUGGCGAAAAUAAAUUUGCUCUUGCAGCAUAAUCGAAGUUUAGUAGAUUUUGCUUUAUCCCGGUUGUAGCAACCAGGACAAGACGUUUCGCGGGCGGUUCCACUCCAUACCAACCCGAUCACGAGGCGCAGGCAAUUUGGAGUUAGUCUGUAAGAGGCUCCGGUUUACAGAUGAAAUAAAGGGACUAAGGAAAUAUUAGGCUGUUUCGCACCUGAUAUCUCCCAACAAUCAAGAGAAACUAAGCAUGUAGAAAGCAUAUGGUCUCCUUGUUUGGACCCGGGUUCGACUCCCGGCAGCUCCACGA
This 421-nucleotide transfer-messenger RNA is filed under the name Bacteroidota bacterium. RNAcentral's name for it is "Bacteroidetes bacterium transfer-messenger RNA". It matches the Rfam family "transfer-messenger RNA". From Rfam's summary of the family: Bacterial tmRNA, also known as 10Sa RNA or SsrA, is named for its dual tRNA and mRNA-like properties. Its role is to liberate the mRNA from a stalled ribosome. Lineage: Bacteria; Pseudomonadati; Bacteroidota. The record is from RNAcentral.